GUUGCUUUGGCCGAGUGGUUAAGGCGUGUGCCUGCUAAGUACAUGGGGUUUCCCCGGAACAGUUCGCAUCUGUCAGGCAAUG
RNAcentral lists this transfer RNA (82 nucleotides) under Rhododendron simsii. It matches the Rfam family "tRNA". Rfam says of the family: Transfer RNA (tRNA) molecules are approximately 80 nucleotides in length. Their secondary structure includes four short double-helical elements and three loops (D, anti-codon, and T loops). Lineage: Eukaryota; Viridiplantae; Streptophyta; Magnoliopsida; Ericales; Ericaceae. The record is from Rfam by way of RNAcentral.